AGACGGGGACCCGCACAAGCGGUGGAUGAUGUGGAUUAAUUCGAUGCAACGCGAAAACCUUACCUACCCUUGACAUGUCCGGAAUCCUGCAGAGAUGCGGGAGUGCCCGAAAGGGAAUCGGAACACAGGUGCUGCAUGGCUGUCGUCAGCUCGUGUCGUGAGAUGUUGGGUUAAGUCCCGCAACGAGCGCAACCCUUAUCAUUAGUUGCUACGCAAGGGCACUCUAAUGAGACUGCCGGUGACAAACCGGAGGAAGUGGGGAUGACGUCAAGUCCUCAUGGCCCUUAUGGGUAGGGCUUCACACGUCAUACAAUGGUCGGUACAGAGGGUUGCCAAGCCGCGAGGUGGAGCCAAUCCCAGAAAGCCGAUCGUAGUCCGGAUUGUUCUCUGCAACUCGAGAGCAUGAAGUCGGAAUCGCUAGUAAUCGCGGAUCAGCAUGUCGCGGUGAAUACGUUCCCGGGUCUU
Molecule: ribosomal RNA, 465 nt
Filed under: uncultured Thiobacillus sp.
Lineage: Bacteria; Pseudomonadati; Pseudomonadota; Betaproteobacteria; Nitrosomonadales; Thiobacillaceae
Description: bacterial SSU rRNA
Rfam family: Bacterial small subunit ribosomal RNA
Source: RNAcentral